AGUGAACGCUGGCGGCGUGCUUAACACAUGCAAGUCGAACGAGAACGGAUUAUAGCUUGCUAUAAUUGUCAGCUAAGUGGCGCACGGGUGAGUAAUGUAUAGGUAAUAUGCCUCUUACUAAGGGAUAACAAAUGGAAACGUUUGCUAAUACCUUAUACUCCUUAUUAACAGAAGUUAAUAAGGGAAAGAUUUAUUGGUAAGAGAUUAGCCUGUAUUGUAUCAGUUAGUUGGUGGGGUAAUGGCUUACCAAGACGAGGACACAUAACUGGUUUGAGAGGAUGAUCAGUCACACUGGAACUGAGACACGGUCCAGACUCCUACGGGAGGCAGCAGUGGGGAAUAUUGCACAAUGGACGAAAGUCUGAUGCAGCAACGCCGCGUGGAGGAUGACACAUUUCGGUGCGUAAACUCCUUUUAUAUGAGAAGAUAAUGACGGUAUUAUAUGAAGAAGCACCGGCUAACUACGUGCCAGCCGCCGCAGUAA
This 484-nucleotide ribosomal RNA is filed under the name uncultured bacterium. RNAcentral's name for it is "partial 16S ribosomal RNA". It matches the Rfam family "Bacterial small subunit ribosomal RNA", at positions 29 to 523 of the family's 1533-position model. The record is from RNAcentral.